UACGUAGGGUGCAAGCGUUAAUCGGAAUUACUGGGCGUAAAGCGUGCGCAGGCGGCUUUGCAAGACAGAUGUGAAAUCCCCGGGCUCAACCUGGGAACUGCAUUUGUGACUGCAAGGCUAGAGUGCGGUAGAGGGGGAUGGAAUUCCGCGUGUAGCAGUGAAAUGCGUAGAUAUGCGGAGGAACACCGAUGGCGAAGGCAAUCCCCUGGACCUGUACUGACGCUCAUGCACGAAAGCGUGGGGAGCAAACAGG
RNAcentral lists this ribosomal RNA (253 nucleotides) under uncultured bacterium. RNAcentral's name for it is "partial 16S ribosomal RNA". It matches the Rfam family "Bacterial small subunit ribosomal RNA", at positions 524 to 776 of the family's 1533-position model. The record is from RNAcentral.